GGGCGGCGCGGGGCGGCCCCCGACCUCACCGAGCUCAUCCCGCAGUGGCUGGCCACCGCCAACCGGCUGGGGUUCCGGGCCCCGGCCGCCCU
RNAcentral lists this transfer RNA (92 nucleotides) under Streptomyces microflavus. Its description in RNAcentral is "tRNA-Met". The record is from RNAcentral. Lineage: Bacteria; Bacillati; Actinomycetota; Actinomycetes; Kitasatosporales; Streptomycetaceae.